UAAAGCUUUAUUGUGUAAAGGUUAUAUUCAACGUAAUCGCAAAGAAAAGUUUAUUAUUAAAUUUGAAUUUAUUUUCAGAAUUUAAAUAUUCAAAAUGAUUGAAAAAUUUACACCAGGAAAUUUAUUAAUAACAUCUAUAUUUGUUUUUUGGAUAUACUCAAUAUAUUUUGAGCCUCGACGAUAUCGUUUGUACAACUUAUGGUCGAAUCCUCAGUUAUCUUAUGCUCGUGAGAUAGAAUUGAAACACUUGGGUAAAGUAUACGUACCAGGGGAGCACUUAACUAGAAGUAUGUAUGAAAAAAAAUGAAGCAAAGAUUUUAUAUUGUUUACAAUACAUGUAUAAUACUAAUAUAUAUACAUGUCAAUCAAUAUUAUUGUAGUUAAAACAUUUAAUAAAGUACAUGAAAAAUA
Molecule: long non-coding RNA, 411 nt
Organism: Apis laboriosa (Himalayan honeybee)
Lineage: Eukaryota; Metazoa; Arthropoda; Insecta; Hymenoptera; Apidae
Exons: 2
Source: RefSeq, a predicted model, not a curated record